UGCAUCGAUGAAGAACGCAGCAAAGUGCGAAAUGUAAUGCGAAUUGCAUGCUCUGUGAGUCAUCUAAUCUCUGAACGCAAAUGGCACUGUCAUGUCGAGUGACAGUAUGCCUGUUUGAGAACCACAUAACCAAUCACCUCUAGUUAGCGGUGUCGCUGCCUGUUGACCACGUCUCGGGCUAAAUGGAUGUGCGACGACCAGUAAGGCGUAGUGUGAUAAUCACAUC
Molecule: unclassified non-coding RNA, 226 nt
Filed under: uncultured fungus
Lineage: Eukaryota; Fungi
Description: sequence contains 5.8S rRNA gene, ITS2
Rfam family: 5.8S ribosomal RNA (bases 1-124)
About the family: 5.8S ribosomal RNA (5.8S rRNA) is a component of the large subunit of the eukaryotic ribosome. It is transcribed by RNA polymerase I as part of the 45S precursor that also contains 18S and 28S rRNA.
Source: RNAcentral